AUUGAACGCUGGCGGCAGGCCUAACACAUGCAAGUCGAGCGGAUGAAGGGAGCUUGCUCCUGGAUUCAGCGGCGGACGGGUGAGUAAUGCCUAGGAAUCUGCCUGGUAGUGGGGGAUAACGUCCGGAAACGGGCGCUAAUACCGCAUACGUCCUGAGGGAGAAAGUGGGGGAGAUUCGGACCUCACGCUAUCAGAUGAACCUAGGUCGGAUUAGCUAGUUGGUGGGGUAAAGACUUUCCAAGGCGACGAUCGGUAACUGGUCUGAGAGGAUGAUCAGUCACACGGGAACUGAGACACGGUCCAGACGCCUACGGGAGGCAGCAGUGGGGAAUAGUGGGCAGUGGUCGAAAGCCUGAUCCAGCCAGGCCGCGUGUGUGAAGAAGGUCUUCGGAUUGGAAAGCACUUUAAGGUGGGAGGAAGGGCAGUAAGUUAUUACCUUGCGGUUGUGACGUUACCAACAGAAGAAGCACCGGCUAACUUCGUG
Molecule: ribosomal RNA, 484 nt
Filed under: uncultured bacterium
Lineage: Bacteria
Description: partial 16S ribosomal RNA
Rfam family: Bacterial small subunit ribosomal RNA
Source: RNAcentral